ACGGAGGGUGCAAGCGUUAUCCGGAUUUAUUGGGUUUAAAGGGUCCGUAGGCGGGCUUGUAAGUCAGUGGUGAAAUCUCAUAGCUUAACUAUGAAACUGCCAUUGAUACUGCAGGUCUUGAGUAAAGUAGAAGUGGCUGGAAUAAGUAGUGUAGCGGUGAAAUGCAUAGAUAUUACUUAGAACACCAAUUGCGAAGGCAGGUCACUAUGUUUUAACUGACGCUGAUGGACGAAAGCGUGGGGAGCGAACAG
This 251-nucleotide ribosomal RNA is filed under the name uncultured prokaryote. Its description in RNAcentral is "partial 16S rRNA". It matches the Rfam family "Bacterial small subunit ribosomal RNA", at positions 525 to 775 of the family's 1533-position model. The record is from RNAcentral.